AUGGCCGCCAUGAAGAAGAUCGUGGUGAAGCUGGAACUGCACUGCGACGGGAAGAAGCAGAAGGCGAUCAAGACCGUCUCCACUCUCUGUGGUAUCGACCAGAUCGUCAUGGACAUGAAGGACGGCCAGAUGACGGUCGUGGGGACGGUCGACCCCGUCGACGUCGUCCACAAGCUGCGCAAGCGCUUCUGCUCGGUGCGGAUGGUCUCCGUCGGCCCGGCCAAGGAGGAGGGGAAGAAGAACAAUGAGGGCGGCGGGGACAAGAAGGUCGACAACACGAAGGGCGCGUGCACGCCCAUCCCAGUGUGCCAGCCGUGCUACCCGGCGCACUGGUACCCGCCGCCUCACCACCCGCAGCCGUGCUACUGCUACGUCGUCCACACCGAGGAGCACCCCCACGCGUGCGUCAUCUGCUGA
This 417-nucleotide ribosomal RNA is filed under the name Triticum aestivum (bread wheat). RNAcentral describes it as "partial small subunit ribosomal RNA". Lineage: Eukaryota; Viridiplantae; Streptophyta; Magnoliopsida; Poales; Poaceae. The record is from RNAcentral.